This 270-nucleotide ribosomal RNA is filed under the name uncultured bacterium. Its description in RNAcentral is "partial 16S ribosomal RNA". It matches the Rfam family "Bacterial small subunit ribosomal RNA", at positions 29 to 311 of the family's 1533-position model. The record is from RNAcentral.
AACGAACGCUGGCGGCAGGCCUAACACAUGCAAGUCGAACGCCGUAGCAAUACGGAGUGGCAGACGGGUGAGUAACGCGUGGGAACAUACCCCUCGGUUCGGAAUAACUCAGGGAAACUUGAGCUAAUACCGGAUACGUCCGAGGUUUUGAUCGACCUUGGAGAAAGUAUUUAUCGCCGAAGGAUUGGCCCGCGUCUGAUUAGCUUGUUGGUGAGGUAAUGGCUCACCAAGGCGACGAUCAGUAGCUGGUCUGAGAGGAUGAUCAGCCAC